Haliotis rubra (blacklip abalone) is the source of this 1616-nucleotide long non-coding RNA. RefSeq lists it as uncharacterized. The record is from RefSeq and is a predicted model, not a curated record. Lineage: Eukaryota; Metazoa; Mollusca; Gastropoda; Lepetellida; Haliotidae. The transcript is spliced from 2 exons.
GGGAAUUCCCGGUACUAAGUUUCCACAUGUUCUAGGGUAGUUAGUACAUGCAAUACUCCUAGCUGUGAGUUUACCAGCUGCAAUAACUGUAUAUGUCAUUACAUAUUUUAAACCAAAACUUGCCAUUUGGGAGUGUUUGAGUGUGAUGUUACGUUUUAAGUGCUUAUUGUUAUUGUGGUUCAUUCACUGUUACAUUCACACAUUCCAUAGGUGUGCUUUCAUGUCAAAUGUGCUCUUUAAGCAAAUCUGAAUGUUUUGUAUCACCAUUUGCCUGUGUCAUAAUAUGAGUUGGAGUGUUCUUGACUUGACCUUGUAAUAUUUUGACAGUUUUGAAUUGUGUAGAAUAGGCAACAGAGACAUGGAGAUGAUUUCUUUUUGUAUGUUUGUUGAAAAUACAAUAAAUUUUUGUAUGUCUUAACUAAUUAAACAAUGACUAAUUGAUUUUUUUAGAAUCUUGCUCUUUGUGUGAAAUACACGUACCGGUACCUAUAUAUUUUUAUGUUUGUGUGCUCAAAAUUAGCAGUUUGUGUUGUUUUGAGUCUAUUUUUUAAAUAGAUGUUUAUUAUAUUUGUAUUCCUGCAAGUAUGAUGGGUAAACUCUAGUUAAGUGUUCCAUAAAAAAGCACAGUAUGAGAUUGAAGCUAUGGCCAGGGUAACUGCUGUGAACAUUUUAUUUGAGCAAAUAGUGACAAAAUAUAAUGCUGAGCAGUGGAAGUUUGAUGUUACAAAACAAUUAAAUACUAGUAUAGAAGUGGUGCCAAGAUAUAAGCUUGACAGGGAAAUUCUUAUCCUAAAUAUAUAUCUAUUGUCUUACCAUGUAUUUAGUUUUAAUCAUUAAGAAAAUACAAAAAGGUAUGUUCAAACAAUAUUGCCUUUUCUCAUUAAAUUAUGAAGAUUUUAGAUCACUCAGUGUCAUAUUCAUCUUAUGAAACAAGAAAUACAAACAGCCACCAGUUUCAGAGUUACCAAGGCAUCAGCAAAUCAUGUUUGUUUCAGUGGAUUUUGUUAGCUUGUUUGACAAUUGUUAGUCAUGGAAAAUGUCCCAGGCAGAUGGAACUAUCUAGAUUAUGGAGAAAAUAUUGUGUUCUUUGUGUGUUUUAUUAAGUUCCUGUGUUAAUGGAUUUGUUGUGGUCACUGAAGAACGAAGAAUGGAAUUGUGUUCACCAAUCUAUCUGUAUAGAAUACACUGCUCAACUCUUUCUAUUGAUAUUGAUAUACAAGUUUACUUCAUAGUUGUGACUUCAGACUGUCACUAAAAGAUAGAUGGAAAUACUCAGUGUAUGAACUUUGUCUAUUGCAAUAGUAAUGGGAUAUAAGCAGUUGUUUUUCAUUCAUGUUGAAUAUUUUGACCAUGGUAAUAAAAAGGUCCAUGUCAUAAGUAUUCAUUUCUGAUUUCAUUCUAAAGUGUGUGUUUUUUCAGGUAUCCCAAGUAGCAUGUAUGCCAAAGUAUGUUAUAGUGAUAUUGAUCAAAUGUGCUCUGAACUUUCAAUUUCAGAUUCUAUUGUGGAAGUUUCAGUAGAGCAUGGUAAUUAACAUUGUUUCGACUGAAUCUAGAUGAUACAAUUGUCUGUAAAUGCAGACUUCCUAUAAUGAGUGCAAUAAAGACUUUACACUUAA